Cyprinus carpio carpio is the source of this 911-nucleotide long non-coding RNA. The record is from Ensembl. NCBI's taxonomy places the organism in Eukaryota, Metazoa, Chordata, Actinopteri, Cypriniformes, Cyprinidae.
CGAAUUAGAACAACCUGAAUAUGAAUAGAAAUGGAAGCUUUGCCUCUUUUGUUUAAUGCGCAUGCGCCAAAUUAAUACGUAAUGACGGCGCACUACUUCAGCAGAUUUUGAAAAAUGCGCUGUGCGCCAUGUUUGUGUAAUCGCGAUGCGUGAGGGAACAAACAAGAAGAGAAUGAUUACAGAUGAGAUUUUAUGAUCAGUACAGUUUUGUUACUGGAGAUAAGUUACAUGGUGGAAACACAGACCAGUGCUGAAGAGGUGAUGUUAGAAGUUUUUAAUGAAUUGUUGCCCAGCCAGCUCGCCUUGAUCACACAUUAUAAGCUAAAAGUGCCAUUAAGUCACUAUCCAUAUGGAUUUUAACUGCUUUGAAUCUUUUCCAUUUGCAAGUAAUAUAUUCCCUCCUGUGCAUUUACAGACCCCCCUCUAAUCAUCUUAUAUUUUACAGGUAACAAACCAAAGGAUGAGGACAGUAGCUUUUCUGUGCCAGCCGUGAUGAAUAAAGUAACAUCCUUCAUGAAGAUGUGUGAGAGAAGCUUGUAAGCCAGGGUCAGUGAAGAUUGUGUGGUCAGUGGAAUUCUGCUGUUUAUGGGAAGCGUAAAGGAACAUCUCCCAGCAUUCUUCUUGAUGAUUGAGGUAACGUUAAUUCAUGAUGCAGAUGUGGUCAAAAGUUUACACACACCUUGCAGAAUAUACUGCUUCAUUAGGGCUGUCAUUUUUUUAAUGAUUCUACAUCUCUGCCCUCUUACUGCUUAAAUUAUUAACAUUUGCUGAUACUGCAAGGUGUAUGUAAACUUUAGACUGCAGUUGUGUGUAUUGCUUUCACUCAACUGAACCAUUUAUAAUGAAUGACUGGAUAUGUUUUAUAACAAUAGUUGUUCUUCUGUUUUGUUUUUUUUCUUUCUUUCCUCAAG